This 365-nucleotide long non-coding RNA is filed under the name Amborella trichopoda. RNAcentral describes it as "long non-coding RNA (ATRI_LNC000249)". Lineage: Eukaryota; Viridiplantae; Streptophyta; Magnoliopsida; Amborellales; Amborellaceae. The record is from RNAcentral.
CAAAAACCAUGGAGCUUGAAUUUGUUCGUAUUUUUGCAGCAUUAAUUUUGGCUUUUACAAUAUACUGUAUCAUAAGAAAUAUCUCUAACCGUAGUUAUAUGAAAAUGCAUAUGUCGUAUGAGCCUUCUGGUGGCCUUGGGUUUGGAGAGACUCUCUUUGUUAUUGCUGCAAAUAAUAGCAGCAAUGGAGGACUGUAUGAAUUUGUACGCCUACGCCGUAAAAGGUUCGUAUAUUUCUUCUCUUUCUUACUUCUUUGUCCGUAACACCGGGAAAAUUACUUAGUUUUCUAAUCUUGUCUCUGUAUUUGUUUUGUUCGAAAAGACAUGGUUAUGCUGCUGAAGUUUCUGUAUCUGUUUGAAUUUAUG